GCUUUUCUGAUUCCCCUCCCAUAGAUUUAGCUCAGCUCCUCCAUGUCCUCCCUGUAUUUUGUUCACACUCCUCUAACCUGUAACUCCUUAUGGCUCUUAUUGCUUUUUUUUGUUUGUUUGGGAUGAGCACUUUCAUUCAUUUAUUUAUUUGGUUAACACUGUCAGUUAAUACAGUUUAAGUGAGGCAAACCACUCUUCCUGCCUGGGGUGGCAGGGGAGAUGACUGGUCCAUUGGCAAUACCAUGUCCUUGACCAGCGAUUGGUUCAGAAAAGGAUACACAUAAUAACCCUGAUGAGUCAAGUCUGAUAUGUUUGCUGGAACGAUUAGAAACGGGAUGUUCCCCUUUCCAUGGUGUUGCCAGGGUGGUGGAAUGGAAGUCUGGAGUGGUUGGAGCUGAUUUUGCCACCAAAGAACAAAAAUAAAAACCAACAUUAAAAAAAAGCAUAAUUUGUGAUGGAGAGAGACAGAAUUCAGUUGGAUGUUUGAAUAUCUGAAUCUAGAAAUGCCCAAGACAAUGGAACUUUUCAAAGGUCCUACUUUCAGAAAAUAUAAAGAAAGCAAGGAAGGCAUGAGGAACAAAUGGAAAGGUAAGAUAUGGAAGUCAAGUUUGCUUUAGAUUAAUUGGGAUAGGAGAGAUUUUUUUUUAGACUUUACCUUUAAUUGUAGUUAUUUUUGUCCUGUGGUUUGUCGAGUUUUCAAAACUCAUUAGUGUGCCAUAAGGAGCCCUCAUGGCCUGACUGGAGCAUUUUUCUUCAGUUUCGUUUCUUUCUUCAGAACACAAUUCAUGCCAGACACACCAAUAUGAUCUCAAUACUAUUUCAUAAAAAAUCUCCAAAUCAACUAAAAUAGCUCUAGUUCAUUCCUCUUGAUUGUUACAUAAUAUUCCAUAAUGAGAAUGUAUCAUAAUUUAUUCAACCAUUCCCUUGUAAAUGGAUGCUUACAUUGGUUCCAGUUUUUAUCACCACAAACAAAACUGUAAGAAGCAACCUUUUACACAUAUCAUCACAUGUUCGUGGUUCUAAGACAAUUCUAGGAGUGGAGUUUCUGGGCAAAAAGAUAUAGAUUUCUAAUUUUAAUAUGUGUUGUUCAACUUACUUUAGAAAGAAACUAUGACAUUUCAUAUUUACACCAGCAAUUUAAUAAAGUAUAAUUUUCCUCAUAUUAUCAUAAAAAAGGUGUAUUAGCCCAUUUUCACACUGCUAUAAAGAUUUACUUGAGAACAAGUAAUUUAUAAAGGAAAGAGAUAUUAUUGACUCAUAGUUCCACCAGGCUCUGGAGGCCUCAGGAAAUGUGCAAUCAUAGUGGAAGGCAACGGAGAAGCAAGCACCUUCUUCAAAAAGUGGCUGGAGACACAGAGAGUAAAGGAGGAAGUGCCAUUUUUAAACCUUCAGAUCUUGGGCAGACUGACUCAUCAUCAUGAGAACAACAUGGGGGGCACUUCCCCCAUGAUCCAAUCACCUCCCACCAGAUCCCUCCCUUGACACAUGGAGAUUACAAUUCAAGAUGAGGUUUGGUUAGGGACACAGAGCCAAACCAUAUUAUUCUGCCCCUGGCCCUCCCAAAUCUCAUGUUCUUUUUACAUUUCAAAACCAAUCAUGACUUCCUAACAGUCUUCUAAAGUUUUACUUCAUUCCAGCAUCAACUCAAAAGCCCAAGUCCAAAGUCUCAUCUGAGACAAGGCAAGUCCCUUCUGCCUUUAAGCCCAUAAAAUAAAAAAGUUACUUACCUCCAAGAUACAAUGGGGGUACAGGCAUUGGAUAAAUGUUACUGUUCCAACUAGGAAAAAUUGGUCAAAAUGAAGGAGCCACAGGCCCCAUGCAAGUUUGAAACCCAGGAGGGCACUUACUAAAUCUUAAAGCUCCAAAAUGAUCUUCUCUGACCCCAUGUUUCACAUCCAGGGCAUGCUAAUGCAAGAAAUGCAUUCUCUUGACUUUUGGCAGCUCCACACCUGUGGUUCUGGAGGGUACAGG
Long non-coding RNA from Callithrix jacchus (white-tufted-ear marmoset), 1971 nucleotides. The record is from Ensembl. NCBI's taxonomy places the organism in Eukaryota, Metazoa, Chordata, Mammalia, Primates, Cebidae.